RNAcentral lists this ribosomal RNA (247 nucleotides) under uncultured bacterium. RNAcentral describes it as "partial 16S ribosomal RNA". It matches the Rfam family "Bacterial small subunit ribosomal RNA", at positions 523 to 769 of the family's 1533-position model. The record is from RNAcentral.
AUACGGAGGGUGCGAGCGUUAUUCGGAAUUACUGGGCGUAAAGCGCGUGCAGGCGGGUGGAAAAGUCUGAUGUGAAAGCCCCGGGCUCAACCUGGGAAGUGCAUUGGAUACUGGGAGACUUGAAUACGGGAGAGGGUAGUGGAAUUCCUAGUGUAGGAGUGAAAUCCGUAGAUAUUAGGAGGAACACCGGCGGCGAAGGCGGCUACCUGGACCGAUAUUGACGCUGAGACGCGAAAGCGUGGGGAGC